Arachis ipaensis is the source of this 389-nucleotide non-coding RNA. The record is from RefSeq and is a predicted model, not a curated record. NCBI's taxonomy places the organism in Eukaryota, Viridiplantae, Streptophyta, Magnoliopsida, Fabales, Fabaceae.
UGUGCAUACAAGAAUUUCUAAAGCACAAUUGCAAGCGCUAGUCUCCUAUAUUGCUUCUAAGGAAGGAGGUAAAAUUCCAAUACAAUUGGCUGGAAUGUUCCCUACUCAACAAGUUUCACAGGGAUUGGAUCAGGAGAGUGAGAUUCCAUCACCAAAAGAGUUAGGAAGUAGGUCUUCUGGAGCAAGCAACAAGGAAGCAUGACCUUGCUUGAUAUGUUAAGACAAUUAUAAGUCAGAAUUAGUCAAUGCUUGUUAAGGAUUAUUUUGAUACUUUGUUUUUUGGAUUAUGACAUUUCAAUUAUGACUUGGAUUAUGACUUUUGGAUCAUGUAUGAAUUAAAAAUCAUCUUAUGAUGUUUGAUUUAUGGCUAUACCUUUUGGUUAUUAUGA